AAAUUUGCCUCACGUUGCUCUGUCAUUUGGCUUCAAGGUGCCUCCUUUUGUUGAUCUGAACGUGAACAGCAAUGAAGGCAAGCUGAAGAAGAGAGGAGGCGGCGGCGGGUUCGGCUACCAGAAGCCCAAGAAAGUGGAGAAGUCCAAAAUCUUCAAGCACAUUAGCAAGAAGUCUUCCGACGGCAGGCAGUUCUCUCACUGAAGACAUCCUUCCACCUUCGGGGCUUAGUCCUGAGAGGAGUGGUUUUUCUUGCUCUAACAAGGACUUGUGACUGUAGGAUUGGGACUGAUCUAACAAGAGUGUAAAUUGGCAAGGAGUGCAAGCAAUGAGCACUAUUUCCAGCAAGUCUUGUUUAUGUUGAGUCAUAAAACAAAAACAAGUUCAUUUUGUCUUGAUUUCCCAAGGACAGCGCAAAGGGGUGUUUUUGGUCUUUGUUGUGAUUAAAGGGUAUUUUGAGGUUAAGUUUUGUUUUUUUUAAUCUCAUCUGUCAUUGUUUUAAUUCUUUUUGUACCUUUUCUUCUGGUGUCUGAAUAUUUUUUCGACAUGAAUUGGUAUAGCAACCUGCUGAAACGGGCAGGUCACCCAGUACACUGGAGGCAGUUUGGGGUGACAGUGCAGGAAACUGUCUGGGUUUUUUGUUUUGUUGUUUCUUAGACCUUAACGGUAGUUCCUGAUCCCUCCUGAAAAUGCUGCCGUGUGAAAGGACAGAGAGCUUUUGGAAGUACCUAAGAAGCACCUUCAACUAAAGGUGGCAGGGUUUUUAUAUACGCCAGAUUUUAUAAUGGCCUUUCCCCGUUUUGAUUCAAGAACAAGAAACAUGAGGUGUUGUGCUUUGAGUAAAAUGCCGGUUUGGAGUUGGAGGAGAGCUGAGAUUUCUGGCCUCAUUUACACCGAUGCAGGUGUGGUGUCUGCUGCUCCAUGUGGUGAUUAGCAAAGACCUUUUAAAACAAAUGGGGACAAAGUGACGACACCCGCCUUGUUUCCGGUGGGGCUUGUUUGGGGUUUAGUGAGCUCUUCCAACUCGACUCCUUAGCAGGUAAAGCAUCUUUUGGAGAAAAAAAAUUGCUUUUUCCAGAUCCAUGAAAUAUGAGCAGGGUCAGAAAGGGCAGGAGUUUAGUCACAUGUGGUUUUCUGCUGUGGGACUCCUGAUCUGUGUUUUAUGUUUUAUUUCUACUGUGCUCCAUAACUGCAACUGGUUAUUCCAAUUUAAAACCAAAGUUGCUGGCAUCGCUUGCUGUUGUGCCUGUUGAUAUUGUAGACUCUUGUGAAAUACAAGGACACUGAGAACGUCAGAUGGAGAGGAAACCGCUGGAUGGAGAGCAUCCCGGAGGGACCGGGAGGGAUGGGAUCUUGCGGCUGCCUGGCCACUGUCAUGUCAGGGCCUGCGCAGGUGCAGACCUGGAUUGCUGGACUCCUGACAUUUAACAACUGCUUCUCUACCCAGUAACUUGUUUUUCUUUUUUUCAGAAAUAAUCACGUUUCAAAAAUAUAUACAAAGCAAAGGGAAGAAUAUUUAAUCACUGAACAGAAAUAAAGACUGAAUAUUUUGUUAUAUAUCCUUCCAGUGUUUUAUAUACAUUAAAUGUUUUUAUCAAAAGUGAAAUUCUCUACCCACUAUUUGUGAACAGCUUAUUUUAUAACGUUAUUUUCCCAUGUCAUUAAAUAAUUACAUCA
Myotis brandtii (Brandt's bat) is the source of this 1675-nucleotide long non-coding RNA. RefSeq lists it as uncharacterized. The record is from RefSeq and is a predicted model, not a curated record. The transcript is spliced from 2 exons. NCBI's taxonomy places the organism in Eukaryota, Metazoa, Chordata, Mammalia, Chiroptera, Vespertilionidae.